GACGAACGCUGGCGGCGUGCUUAACACAUGCAAGUCGAGCGAUGAGACACCUUCGGGUGCGGAUUAGUGGCGAACGGGUGAGGAACACGUGAGGAAUCUGCCUUCCACUCUGGGAUACCUCCGGGAAACCGGGGCUAAUACCGGACACUUUCAACUGGCGGCAUCGCCGGUUGAAGAAAGUUUUUCGGUGGAAGAUGACCUCGCGGCCUAUCAGCUUGUUGGUGAGGUAAAGGAUCACCAAGGCGACGACGGGUAGCCGGCCUGACGAGGGCGACCGGCCACACUGGGACUGAGACACGGCCCAGACUCCUACGGGAGGCAGCAGUGGGGAAUAUUGGGCAAUGGAGGAAACUCUGACCCAGCGACGCCGCGUGAGGGAUGAAGGCCUUCGGGUUGUAAACCUCUUUCAGCAGGGAAUAAGCGAAAGUGAAGGUACCUGCAGAAGAAGCACCGGCUAACUAUGUGCCAGCAGCCGCAGUAA
Molecule: ribosomal RNA, 481 nt
Filed under: uncultured bacterium
Lineage: Bacteria
Description: partial 16S ribosomal RNA
Rfam family: Bacterial small subunit ribosomal RNA
Source: RNAcentral